GUCGUGGAUGAGUGGCGAACGGGUGAGUAACACGUGAGUAACCUGCCCCUGACUUCGGGAUAAGCCUGGGAAACCGGGUCUAAUACCGGAUACGACCUCCUGCCGCAUGGUGGGUGGUGGAAAGUUUUUUCGGUUGGGGAUGGGCUCGCGGCCUAUCAGUUAGUUGGUGAGGUAAUGGCUCACCAAGACGACGACGGGUAGCCGGCCUGAGAGGGCGACCGGCCACACUGGGACUGAGACACGGCCCAGACUCCUACGGGAGGCAGCAGUGGGGAAUAUUGCACAAUGGGGGAAACCCUGAUGCAGCGACGCAGCGUGCGGGAUGACGGCCUUCGGGUUGUAAACCGCUUUCAGCAGGGAAGAAGCGCAAGUGACGGUACCUGCAGAAGAAGUACCGGCUAACUACGUGCCAGCAGCCGCGGUAAUACGUAGGGUACGAGCGUUGUCCGGAAUUAUUGGGCGUAAAGAGCUCGUAGGUGGUUGGUCACGUCUGCUGUGGAAACGCAACGCUUAACGUUGCGCGGGCAGUGGGUACGGGCUGACUAGAGUGCAGUAGGGGAGUCUGGAAUUCCUGGUGUAGCGGUGAAAUGCGCAGAUAUCAGGAGGAACACCGGUGGCGAAGGCGGGACUCUGGGCUGUAACUGACACUGAGGAGCGAAAGCAUGGGGAGCGAACAGGAUUAGAUACCCUGGUAGUCCAUGCCGUAAACGUUGGGCACUAGGUGUGGGGGACAUUCCACGUUCUCCGCGCCGUAGCUAACGCAUUAAGUGCCCCGCCUGGGGAGUACGGCCGCAAGGCUAAACUCAAAGGAAUUGACGG
Molecule: ribosomal RNA, 819 nt
Filed under: Brevibacterium sp.
Lineage: Bacteria; Bacillati; Actinomycetota; Actinomycetes; Micrococcales; Brevibacteriaceae
Description: bacterial SSU rRNA
Rfam family: Bacterial small subunit ribosomal RNA
Source: RNAcentral